Gopherus flavomarginatus (Mexican gopher tortoise) is the source of this 1887-nucleotide long non-coding RNA. RefSeq lists it as uncharacterized. NCBI's taxonomy places the organism in Eukaryota, Metazoa, Chordata, Testudines, Testudinidae. The record is from RefSeq and is a predicted model, not a curated record. The transcript has 3 exons.
AGAACACCAGACCAUCCUUAGGUCUGAAUUUCUGUGGAUUUGCAUCACAAUUCUACAGCAGCUGAAAGUACUGCGGUUGGAUACUCUAUGACAAUCCACUUUGGACCAGGAAGGUGAUGGGUAUUCAAUGUAAGUGCAUAUGCUAAAAUACUUGGAGAUUUUAGCUAAAAAGUGAAAAAUGGGCAGUAAUGUAUAUUUUAAAUGAAACAGAGUCUCAGCAUGGGAACAUAAGAGAUGAGUACACUGAAUCAUAGCAAAACUUAAUUUGGUGGAAAAAUAUGGUAGUUUUUAACAUUUGCCAUAUUUUAACAUUUGCAACAAUAAUUUCUUCCUGGAAUAGAGUCUGCCUGGCAAGUUUCAGAACAGUAAGAAUUUUAAUAAUCCCUGGAAAAUAAGGGUUUGUGUUGGAGGUGUUCAUUGACUCUUAACCAUAGUUUUGUAGCAACCAUAAAAAUUAGGUCUCUUCCAUUUUUUAGGAAUCUAGCCAUCUCCUGCUACUGUAGGAUCAUUACAUACAAUAUAAAGCUCAGCGGUUUGUCCACCCUAGUUUUGGAUGUCCCAAGAAAAGAAAUGUCCAUCAUUUGCUUAGGAAACUAUACAAAACACACUAAUUCAUUUUGCUGCCUGGAAAAUUUUUUCUGACAGCUUGAAUUUUUUUUUCUUAAUUUCAUCCUAUUAUGUCUUGUUAUAACCUCUUGCGCUGGUGGAGUUUAAACAUCUGACAGUCAGAAUUGCAACACAAUAGCAAGUUGAAGAGCACUGUCUUUACAAUCAGAAGAGCUUUCUAAGAAAGGAGAUGGCUUUUCUAAAAUAGCAGUUAUGGUGCUUCCUGGCUGUCAUCCAAAUUUAAGAUGCACAAGUUGUUUUCACUUCAUAAAGCUGUAUUGCUCAUAAAUCAGAGCAGCAUUAUGCUACAAACUCUCAGCACAAGAGGCUGCCAUAUAACUUGAGAAAAAUUAUCCAUCUGUUUGAAUUAGCAAUCAGAUUUUUUUAUUUUCUUCUUUAAAGUUUUCCUACUGACAAAACUUUUUUUUCUUUUGCUGCUAUGGAAGAAUUACUAGCAAAUUAACAGAUUUUCAACAGUGCAAGAACUGAGUUUAGUAUUACUGGUAUGUACGGAGCUAAAAUAUCAUUCUCAGUAAAGACAUCUAUUAAUGCCUACCUUUUCUUUUCCAUGUUUAAGAAGAGGCUGUCUAAGGAAUUGUUUAACAACUUUUCUAAGGAGAACCUAGCUCUCGGGUUUGUUUGUCCAAUAAAAUAUGACUUCAGACUUCAUUUCUUGUUAGCAAACUAGAUUUCUGAAAAUACUGAACUGCAUUGUGAGUAGUUCUCAUGUUCCUGUUAUGUAUGUGCCUAUGUCCUCAUGGUUUAGCUAUUAGCCCUGUUUCAUGGAGAAAGAUUUCUCCACAUUUCUCCACACUGCCCCUAUAAAUAUGGCAUUGUCGCCUGGGCAAGAGACAUUUCCACCUGAGAGGGGAGGGAUAGAGCACCCACCUGCUUAUUCUCUGUACUUUAUCACUAAGCAGGUGCACAGCCACAGGGUGUUUUCUGUGGCGGAACCUCCUCUUAGACGCAAAGAAGGGAAGAAACUCAAGUCAAAACAAACCAUGGAGAAGGCUCAAGAGAGGUCCAAGCUAGGAUGUUGUUGCUGAUUCUCCUCACUGACUGAAAAUACUCCUGGAUACCGGGCAGAAGGCAGGCUCCUAGCUUUCCCGAUCCCACAAAGUGUUGAGUGUCCUCAAUUCCCGUUGACUUUAAAGAGAAUCAAAGACACUAGGAACCUUGCAGGAUUGCACCCCAAAAGAUUCAGAUUAAAGACAUUUCUUCUAGAAGUGACCAAAUACUACAAGUCCUGAACAAACCCCAAUUCUAUUUUUAUUUAUUUUU